Molecule: ribosomal RNA, 394 nt
Filed under: uncultured Comamonadaceae bacterium
Lineage: Bacteria; Pseudomonadati; Pseudomonadota; Betaproteobacteria; Burkholderiales; Comamonadaceae
Description: bacterial SSU rRNA
Rfam family: Bacterial small subunit ribosomal RNA
Source: RNAcentral
AUUGAACGCUGGCGGCAUGCUUUACACAUGCAAGUCGAACGGUAACAGGCCGCAAGGUGCUGACGAGUGGCGAACGGGUGAGUAAUGCAUCGGAACGUGCCCAGUCGUGGGGGAUAACGCAGCGAAAGCUGCGCUAAUACCGCAUACGAUCUAUGGAUGAAAGCGGGGGACCGUAAGGCCUCGCGCGAUUGGAGCGGCCGAUGUCAGAUUAGGUAGUUGGUGGGGUAAAGGCUCACCAAGCCAACGAUCUGUAGCUGGUCUGAGAGGACGACCAGCCACACUGGAACUGAGACACGGUCCAGACUCCUACGGGAGGCAGCAGUGGGGAAUUUUGGACAAUGGGCGCAAGCCUGAUCCAGCAAUGCCGCGUGCAGGAAGAAGGCCUUCGGGUUGU